GCCGUCUGUACAAUUCAUCUCAUCCAUUUAUUCAAAACAACUUAAAAUGCACGCCGCCCAGAGAGAGCGUUAUUCGCUUUGGGUACAUGUCAUAAUCUAUUCAUUUCUGCCUCGUUCGAUCUAUGAAUCUUUUCGAGACCUUUUCUCUGAAUCUUUUCUGAAAGCCGACAUGAAUCUUUUGCAUUCUAAGUCUCUGUCAUCCACUCUGAGGUUUAAAUCCCCUGAACGAAUAUAUUCCAGAGAAAUCUCCUCUCGUUUAUUCUCCAUCAGGUGUUGUUUGCCUUUCCCAAGAGAGAAAGCCAAGCAUUACAGAGAGCUUGAGGUGGCGAUAGAUGUUGUGCAGAGCGCCUGCCGUAUAUGUAUUGAUGUAAAGAAGUCUCUUUCUUUGAAUGAUGGCCGAAUCGUUGAGAAAAAUGAUCAAACGCCAGUGACAAUUGCUGAUUUCAGUGUGCAGGCUUUGAUUAGCUUGGAGCUAAACAGAUCGUUUCCUUCAAUCCCUUUGGUGGCUGAGGAAGAUUCCACUUUCUUAAGAUCAAGUUUGACAAAUUCAAUUGAAGAUAAGGAUUACGCGUCUAGUUUCCUUGUGGACUCAGUGUUAGCUGCUGUAAUCGGUAAAGCGAGCAUUGAGAGUAAGCCUUUGAGUCAAGAGGAUGUUUUGAAUGCUAUUGACAGAGGGGGAAGUGGUGCUCAUACUUUUGAUGCUAAACCUUCCACAUAUUGGGUACUUGAUCCCAUUGAUGGAACCCGUGGGUUUUUAAAGGGUAGAAAGGCAUUGUAUGUGGUUGGCUUGGCUCUUGUUGUUGAAGGGGAGAUUGCUGUUGGUGUUUUGGGCUGCCCAAACUGGAAGGAAGAAUCUGUUUCUGUUCAAGGAUUGUGUUCUGAAGAUAAGAUACCAAAUAUUUCAGAAUGUCAUGCUAAUCAAGCAGGAAUACUUAUGGUUUCUCAUGUUGGCUGUGGAACAUGGACAAGGAGGUUAUCAAGUAUGUUGGGAAACAUGGACUUCCUUGUGAUACAUGAUGGUUGGACGAGGUGCUCUGUUGACCCCUGUGCUUUUGUUUACGAGGCUCGGUUUUGUAUUCCUGAUAGCCAAACUUGGGAAUCAUUGCCAUUGUCAACCAUUUAUAGUUCAACAACUGAUAUGGGGAGCAGCAUUAAAGACAAAACAAAACUUGUUCUUAAGUCUGUAUGUUGUGGAAGAUGGUUACUUGACUCAUGUCGCUUUUGCCAAUUGGUACGGGAGUAAAUUAUGGGAUUCUGCAAGCCCGCAAAUCAUCAGGAGUUUUGGAUACUGUAGAAUGUUAAUCUUCACAUCUCCGCAUAGUUGAACAGCCCCGAAUCAAGGUUUGUGUAGCUAUUGGCAUCUCCAUAUACUCACACACAUGCAUGUGUGUAUAUUGUCCAUAUUUGAGUUCUGCUUGCCUAAGUACUUCAGAGUUGGUGAAUUGUGGUAAGAUCCAAUGAGUUAUCUCAUUUUACUCUAUUGUUUAGUGAAAUUUUAGAGGGCCAAAGGCAAUCAAUGGGCCUAAGGUCCAAAUCAUCUACAAAGUUUACGGUUUUAUGGGGAUCUCACUGUUGAUACACCUCGCAGGCACCAAACCAUUCUAAGAGUAAUGACCAGCAGUACCAUGACAAAGUGGACUGUGAAAGCUUCUCAAAUGCAUCUGAUUUUGUCCAAUUCUAUUAUUAGAGUGAAAAGUUGUGGUCUUCUUGUACUUUCAAAAUUAAAAAUGUGUAGCUUGAAGUAGCUUUCACCAUGAAAAACACCAUACUCAGCAAGAAGCUGCCCAAUGUGCAAAUUCUUUGCUGUUAUGUUAGGCAAGACCCAUGUAGGGAUGGAAGACACCACCUCUAUGCAUGAUGGACCUCGUGAGUAAUUUUGAGCUGCACAGAGUUAGGAGUUUGAACUAGUAUGAAUUUGUAUAUUCAAAGCUCUGGCUUUCUUGGUGAGUAGCCUUUCUUGCAUAAGAUGAUUUCUGCAGGUUAUUGGUUCUUAGAAACUCUUUGGGAUCUUUUUUAUUUUAUUUUUAUUUUUAGUAGUGAUUGGUAUAUUAUACAUUUAUGCACCAUUGGUGUAAAUGUAUUUACUUUUUAUUUCUAAUGAUCAUCCUUAAUUUAUGUUGGCAUUGUCUCUCUAUUUGCAGCUUAUGUAAGUAUCUAAUGGUUGCAAUGGGUAUGGCUUCUGUUUUCAUUCUUCGUGCCAGGAUGAAAACUGUUAUAAAGGUUUGGGAUCAUGUUGCUGG
Amborella trichopoda is the source of this 2240-nucleotide RNA transcript. It is a transcript of the gene named Inositol monophosphatase family protein, with no coding region annotated. Lineage: Eukaryota; Viridiplantae; Streptophyta; Magnoliopsida; Amborellales; Amborellaceae. The record is from RefSeq and is a predicted model, not a curated record.